Molecule: ribosomal RNA, 429 nt
Filed under: Bacillota bacterium
Lineage: Bacteria; Bacillati; Bacillota
Description: Firmicutes bacterium partial 16S ribosomal RNA
Rfam family: Bacterial small subunit ribosomal RNA
Source: RNAcentral
UAGGGAAUCUUCGGCAAUGGGGGCAACCCUGACCGAGCAACGCCGCGUGAGUGAAGAAGGUUUUCGGAUCGUAAAGCUCUGUUGUAAGUCAAGAACGGGUGUGAGAGUGGAAAGUUCACACUGUGACGGUAGCUUACCAGAAAGGGACGGCUAACUACGUGCCAGCAGCCGCGGUAAUACGUAGGUCCCGAGCGUUGUCCGGAUUUAUUGGGCGUAAAGCGAGCGCAGGCGGUUUGAUAAGUCUGAAGUUAAAGGCUGUGGCUCAACCAUAGUUCGCUUUGGAAACUGUCAAACUUGAGUGCAGAAGGGGAGAGUGGAAUUCCAUGUGUAGCGGUGAAAUGCGUAGAUAUAUGGAGGAACACCGGUGGCGAAAGCGGCUCUCUGGUCUGUAACUGACGCAGAGGCUCGAAAGCGUGGGGAGCGAACAGG